RNAcentral lists this transfer-messenger RNA (361 nucleotides) under Anaerovoracaceae. RNAcentral's name for it is "SIG262 sp015058215 Standard tmRNA". It matches the Rfam family "transfer-messenger RNA". Rfam says of the family: Bacterial tmRNA, also known as 10Sa RNA or SsrA, is named for its dual tRNA and mRNA-like properties. The record is from RNAcentral. Lineage: Bacteria; Bacillati; Bacillota; Clostridia; Peptostreptococcales. RNAcentral also lists the same sequence under 1 other name.
GGGGGUGUAAAGGUUUCGACGGGGGUUUUGAAGCGGGAUAAGCGAGCCGCAGAUUGCCGAGUCUGCGUUAAAAUCGGCACGUUAAAUUACAAACGCCAAUCGUAAUAACAAUUUCGCACUGGCUGCUUAAGCGCCACCGCGCGUCGGCUUCCGUUCCCCUGUAGGCGGACAGACCCGGCGUCAUUUAUACAGGCAACUGGUUGGUAAGCUCCUGGUAGCCCGCCAGUAUCACAGGAUAGCAGAGACAGAAGCCUGCCGAUGGGCGUCUGUUGAAGCGAAACUUUAAACCACCGGAUGCGCUCGGAGAAAGUCCCAGUGGAUAGGCUUUCGGACGUGGGUUCGACUCCCACCACCUUCACCA